GACGAACGCUGGCGGCGUGCUUAACACAUGCAAGUCGAACGGUAAGGCCCUUCGGGGUACACGAGUGGCGAACGGGUGAGUAUCACGUGGGUGAUCUGCCCUGCACUUCGGGAUAAGCCUGGGAAACUGGGUCUAAUACCGGAUAGGACCACUGCCUGCAUGGGUGGUGGUGGAAAGCUUUUGCGGUGUGGGAUGGGCCCGCGGCCUAUCAGCUUGUUGGUGGGGUGAUGGCCUACCAAGGCGACGACGGGUAGCCGGCCUGAGAGGGUGACCGGCCACACUGGGACUGAGAUACGGCCCAGACUCCUACGGGAGGCAGCAGUGGGGAAUAUUGCACAAUGGGCGCAAGCCUGAUGCAGCGACGCCGCGUGAGGGAUGACGGCCUUCGGGUUGUAAACCUCUUUCAGCACCGACGAAGCGCAAGUGACGGUAGGUGCGGAAGAGGGACCGGCCAACUACGUGCCAGCAGCCGCAGUAA
This 478-nucleotide ribosomal RNA is filed under the name uncultured bacterium. Its description in RNAcentral is "partial 16S ribosomal RNA". It matches the Rfam family "Bacterial small subunit ribosomal RNA", at positions 28 to 523 of the family's 1533-position model. The record is from RNAcentral.